UGGCAGCAAGGUGAAGACGGAUGGAGCGCGAUGGAGAGCCGGGUCAGGUGGGGACAGCCCGGAGUUUUGAGAGGUGGAUGAACACUGGUCUGGCUGUGACAGGUGCUCCAUCUGGGGCUGCUGGGGAAGGGGCAAGGCUGCCCUCCCCAAGACCCAAAUACACGCAGACCUGGCAACAGUGAGAAACAGGACUGGCUUUCUCCUCAUGGGGCCAUGAAAGGGGCAGGUCUGGCUCCAGGUCACAGAGCAAGACAGUGGCAGAGGCAGGACCAGGGGAUGGCCAGGACCCAGAUGCUGCCUGUCCACACAGCAUGCGGCAGGGACCUGGAAGGGAGCACCAUGGGCUCCGCAGCCAGCUGGGCUUGGGGGCAAAUCACAGCUCCUGCUUCCCCAACAGGAGGACACAGGCCAAGCUCCCUGAAGGGCGCUCCUAGAAAACAGUCCUCAGGAAAGUGUGGGAGAUCACUAACUAGCACCAGUAAAGUAGUCAGGCCCACGGGGAAAGCCUUUGGAACCAUCUGGAGCGAUCGGAGUGAGAGAGAGAGAUGGGACCACUGUUGUAAGAAUAGCAGAAGGAGCCACUCAUGUCGGAGAAGCCUCCCCGUGUGGAAACGACCCUUGUGUGGGUAACUCAGGGUCCCUUGGGGGCCCUCUUUCUGGGAAGAGGCUGUAUUACCUUCAGUUUUCUGCUGCUGGGUCUCUGUUUCCAUGAUCUUUGCCAUUAGAGAAAUUUUACUUUCCAUCAGGGACCAUCUCAUCGUGACCCCCCCACGUGCUAACUUCUCUGAGCCCAGUUUCCUGAUGAGGCAUGGGGGCCACAGGACACAGGCCUGGAAGCAGUGAGAAGCAGUUUCAAGAGGGAGUGCAUCCAGGUGCAGAGAUCUGGGACCGAGAUCUCUUUCUUUGCCUCCCCCACUUCACCUGGGUACCCCUGUGAUGGUUACUAUUGAGUGUCAACUUGACUGGAUUGAAGGAUGCAAAGUAUUGUUCCUGGGUGUGUCUGUGAGGGUGUUGCCAAAGGAGAUUAACCUUUGAGUCAGUGGACUGGGAAAGGCAGACCCACCCCCAGUCUGGGUGGGCACAAUCUAAUCAGCUGCCAGAGUGGCCAGAAUAAAAGCAGGUAGAAGAACGUGGAAAUUCUAGACUGGUUUAGUCUUCCAGCCUACAUCUUUCUCCCGUACUGGAUGCUUCCUGCCCGCGAACAUCAGACUCCAAGUUCUUCAGCUUUGGGACUCUUGGACCUUCGACCACAGACUGAAGGCUGCACUGUUGGCUUCCCUACUUUUGGGGUUUUGGGAUUCGGACUGGCUUUCUUGCACCUCAGCUUGCAGAUGGCCUAUUGUAGGACCUCACCUUGUGAUCAUGUGAGUCAAUACUCCGUAAUAAACUCCCCUUCAUCUAUACAUCUAUCCUGUUAGCACUGUCCCUUUAG
Molecule: long non-coding RNA, 1432 nt
Filed under: Homo sapiens (human)
Lineage: Eukaryota; Metazoa; Chordata; Mammalia; Primates; Hominidae
Description: HSALNT0358369
Source: RNAcentral